AAGGCAUUCUUCUUUGAUCAUCGACUAAUUUAUUUGAGCCUUUCGCCUUGAGAAGUGAGUUGAUCUGCACUACCAUUUUGAGUAGUUUCUGUUUAAACCAAAAUUCUAAAUAGAAUUGAUGCAUUUGGUUUAGUUUUGUUUGUUGUUCUAAGGCAUUAGGCCAUUUCCUGAUAACCUGACCAGGUGGAAUUGGAAGCCAUAAAGCUGGGCACAAUACAAAUCAAAUGCAUCAAUUCUAUUUAGAAUUUUG
Molecule: unclassified non-coding RNA, 250 nt
Filed under: Hevea brasiliensis (rubber tree)
Lineage: Eukaryota; Viridiplantae; Streptophyta; Magnoliopsida; Malpighiales; Euphorbiaceae
Source: RNAcentral